CAGCCGCCGCGGGAAUACGAAGGGUGCAAGCGUUAAUCGGAAUUACUGGGCGUAAAGCGCGCGUAGGUGGUUUGGUAAGAUGGAUGUGAAAUCCCCGGGCUCAACCUGGGAACUGCAUCCAUAACUGCCUGACUAGAGUACGGUAGAGGGUGGUGGAAUUUCCUGUGUAGCGGUGAAAUGCGUAGAUAUAGGAAGGAACACCAGUGGCGAAGGCGACCACCUGGACUGAUACUGACACUGAGGUGCGAAAGCGUGGGGAGCAAACAGGAUUAGAUACCCGGGUAGUCCCUGUCUCUUAUAC
RNAcentral lists this ribosomal RNA (301 nucleotides) under uncultured bacterium. RNAcentral's name for it is "partial 16S ribosomal RNA". It matches the Rfam family "Bacterial small subunit ribosomal RNA", at positions 509 to 807 of the family's 1533-position model. The record is from RNAcentral.